AUACGGAGGAUCCGAGCGUUAUCCGGAUUUAUUGGGUUUAAAGGGAGCGCAGGCGGAGAUGCAAGCGUGACGUCAAAUUUCGGGGCUCAACCCCGUCUCGCGUCGCGAACUGCGUCCCUUGGUUGCGGGAAGGGGAGGCGGAACUCGUGGUGUAGCGGUGAAAUGCAUAGAUAUCACGAAGAACUCCGAUCGCGAAGGCAGCCUUCCGGCCCGUCAACGACGCUCAUGCUCGAAGGUGCGGGUAUCAAACAGGAUUAGAUACCCUGGUAGUCCGCACAGUAAACGAUGGACACCCGCGGUUUGGCCUGUAUGGCUGAGCCGCCAAGCGAAAGCGUUAAGUGUCCCACCUGGGGAGUACGCCGGCAACGGUGAAACUCAAAUGAAUUGGCGGGG
RNAcentral lists this ribosomal RNA (393 nucleotides) under uncultured bacterium. RNAcentral describes it as "partial 16S ribosomal RNA". It matches the Rfam family "Bacterial small subunit ribosomal RNA", at positions 523 to 918 of the family's 1533-position model. The record is from RNAcentral.